AAAAGUAUGAUGAAGCUUUAACUGUUGUUGAGUUGAGAGAAACUUUAGAAACUAAAGACAACGGUGUAAUAUCGUUAUCACUAAUAGAGUUUUUAGCUUGGAAAUUUAAAAAGUCCACGAAUGAAGUAUGCCGAGCUCCUCAGGGAAACGCCCCUAAAGAAGAAUUGGAAAAAGCAGAACAGAAGUUACAGGAGGUGCAAACUGCGUUAGAGCAAGUAAUUCAGGUGGCUAGAGAGCUUGAGGAAGCAGUAAAAGACUGUAAAAGAAUUGAAGAAGAGCGAGAGAGGCAAACAAAAAUUUUGGAAUCUACAGCUAAUGAUGAAUCUAAGUCGACUGUUCAGCGAAGUAAAGCCUCUAACGAGCUGGCUCAACUGAAUUCAAAAGACUAUUUACCUCUGAAAAAGGCUAAAAUUACUCAGGAAGCUGCCUUGCGUAAAACCGUAUCAUCACAAGGCGUCUUAGAAAGAAAGUUAGAGGAUGCAAAGGAAGAGCUUGAAGCUGUCAGACAGAAGGGCGGAGUGGGCAAUGGCAGUCUGUAUUUCUUGGAGAGAAAUCUUUAUGAGGCUGACAAACGACUACCCACCAAGAAACAGAAAUAUGACCAUCAGAAACCG
Molecule: long non-coding RNA, 614 nt
Organism: Zophobas morio
Lineage: Eukaryota; Metazoa; Arthropoda; Insecta; Coleoptera; Tenebrionidae
Exons: 4
Source: RefSeq, a predicted model, not a curated record